This 497-nucleotide ribosomal RNA is filed under the name uncultured bacterium. RNAcentral describes it as "partial 16S ribosomal RNA". It matches the Rfam family "Bacterial small subunit ribosomal RNA", at positions 28 to 507 of the family's 1533-position model. The record is from RNAcentral.
GAUGAACGCUGGCGGCGUGCCUAAUACAUGCAAGUCGAGCGAACAGACGAGGAGCUUGCUCCUCUGACGUUAGCGGCGGACGGGUGAGUAACACGUGGAUAACCUACCUAUAAGACUGGGAUAACUUCGGGAAACCGGAGCUAAUACCGGAUAAUAUAUUGAACCGCAUGGUUCAAUAGUGAAAGACGGUUUUGCUGUCACUUAUAGAUGGAUCCGCGCCGCAUUAGCUAGUUGGUAAGGUAACGGCUUACCAAGGCAACGAUGCGUAGCCGACCUGAGAGGGGGAUCGGCCACACUGGAACUGAGACACGGUCCAGACUCCUACGGGAGGCAGCAGUAGGGAAUCUGCCGCAAUGGGCGAAAGCCUGACGGAGCAACGCCGCGUGAGUGAUGAAGGUCUUCGGAUCGGAAAACUCUGUUAUGAGGGAAGAACAAAUGUGUAAGUAACUAUGCACGUCUUGACGGUACCUAAUCAGAAAGCCACGGCUAACUACGUG